AUUAGUUAUGGUGAUAUGGUUCCAGCAACAAUAACUGGAAAGAUUGUUGGUGGCGUUUGCUCGUUGAGCGGUGUGCUGGUCAUUGCUUUACCUGUGCCAGUGAUAGUCUCGAAU
This is a non-coding RNA of Sarcoptes scabiei, 114 nucleotides long. The record is from Rfam. Lineage: Eukaryota; Metazoa; Arthropoda; Arachnida; Sarcoptiformes; Sarcoptidae.